Long non-coding RNA from Oryzias sinensis (Chinese medaka), 2550 nucleotides. NCBI's taxonomy places the organism in Eukaryota, Metazoa, Chordata, Actinopteri, Beloniformes, Adrianichthyidae. The record is from Ensembl.
AUACCUAUAUCACAGUUUGUUAACAUAAAGUGAAUAGCAAAAGAAUAGCAAUGUUUCUAGAAAUUAGUAGGUUGGUGCCCUGUGUGCUUCUCCUUACUUUCAGGUAAAUCAAACCCACAGAGGUAAUCUGUUUUAGCGUACAGUAUAUCAUUAUCUGCAGCAGAUAGUGUCUUCUCGGGAAUGAAAUAGGAUGCCUCAUUUGUCUGCUGCAUGCUCAGAUGAAGCCAGUCUCAGUAAAGUGAGAUAAUUGACAAAACAAAUAAACAUAAAAAAAACAACCUGCGGCAUUUAUAGAUCCUCAUUUUCUCACUUGCAUCCUUUCAGCAUUUUUCACCAUUUCCUGUGUGAUUUCGUAUGACCUUCCUUUCUCUGUGUUCUGUCCUCCUGCCCUCCAUCUCCCCCCUUUCUCCUUUGUAACCCUUGUGCUAUCCUAGGCACUUUACCAUUGGGAGUUGGGUCAUCUAGACCCACAAGACAGUCCGCUGAACCUUUUUCCUUCAAUGAUUUGUGAUCCUCAAUGGUGUCCAUGGAUUACAUAAAAUCUUUCCACCUUUAUCCACCUUUGUCAUGGUAGGGAGAACAGGUGAAAGUAAGGGUGGGGUCAUCUAACAUAGCACAAGGGUUAAGUAAUAAACCCAGAGUGCUGAGCUGUGUUCACUCCACAUUUCUCACCCCCUGUUCCAGCAGAAAUGAUGUCCUGCAAAGCUUCAUCCCACCUUUGACCUCACAGCAGACAAUUCAGAGGAUUCCGCUGAGCAGGGGAAGAGGAAUGAUGAAUUAAAAAGCUCUAUGUCUGCAAGGCCAACAGAGACGGGCACCGUGACGCAUUCUGCAAAAACGUUUCUGCAGCAUUACACGACAAGCAGUUUGAUGGCCGCAUGAAUUUGGUAGGGCUAAAUCUGAAUCUUCCUUGACCUUUCGGUUGCCAUAUGGGAGCUAUUAGGAAAGAAUUUCAGGACAUUUCACAGGCCGACCUCCGUCGUUCUCCUUCUGGUUCUUCACUUCAGAGCGGUCUGGGGUUAGCCACCAUCAGUAUCUGGGCUCUGGGGUCUCGUCACAUGGUCCAAGGUCAUCCCAAGCUUACAAGAUGCUAACUGCCAAAGACAAUGGGCAAUUUCGUGCUCAAAUUCCUGUUUUACUAUUAUAUCUUUCAAUCACACUUUCAAAAUCUCUCCUUAUUGAAAUGUGAAUGUACUUGAAGUUGUGGCAUGUGGGGAGAAGAAGCACUGAAGCAUGUGUGUGGGGUGUUUUCCCUACAUGUUUGCACACUGGAAUUAUUGCUUUGGAUGUUGUUAUUCUUUUGUAUGGGUGGAGAUGCUUAAUACAGCCUUAAAGCUUAUACAGCAUUAACCCUUGUACUAUCUUAGAUGACCCCAUCCUUCCAUUGAAGUGUUCCCCCUACCAUGACAAAGGUGGAUAAAGGUGGAAAAUUUCAUGUAAUCCUUGGACACCAGUGAAGAUCACAAAUCAUUUAAGAAAAAAGGUUCAGAGCACUGUCUAGUGGGUCUAGAUGACCCAACUCCCAAUGGUAAAGUGCCUAGUAUAACACAAGUGUUACAGAAGAGGACUUGUGAAAGUGGUUAAAUAAAUUCUGUAUAGCGUACAAGUUCACCACAGUUUAACACAAGUUAAAAUAGUGUGAAUAUAUAUUGAUGUAAAUGUUUCAGAUUUUAGUCAUGUGAAUUGGAUAUAGCUGAAUUGUCACAUCAUGGCAGUUUAAGAGCAGGAACUAACCAAUGAUCAAAUAUCCUUCUCUGCAGUGGUAGGUAACACAACACAGAUUAUUAUUCUGUGCUACAGGCUUUGUGCGGGCUCUUCCGGCAGCAUGAAUGAUUGAAUAGAGACCUGUAAUUCAUACAGAGGGCUUGGUUCUCAGGAUGACGGUAAGCAACCUGAUACUGUGUCGAGAACAACUCAGCUCCUCUACUUCAUAGCUCAGAUUUCUGUCCUUCCCAAGAAAGUACUGUUUCCUCAACUAAAAAAAACAUACAUUCGUAAUAUUUGAAAAUAAAUUAAUAGCCAUCAUACUUUGAUGCAAACCUGUGAACUGUUUUAUGUUCUUUUCAUUACUUUUAGUUUCUAAUGUAUGCUAAGAAAUAAUGUCUAAUAAAAGAUGAUUUAAUAAAAUAACAAAUAUAAGAUUAUUUAUUAUUAAAGUUGCACACAUGGAAGAAAUCUUUAAUGAAAAACCAUCAAACAGAAACAGAGGUGUUGUCGUAACCCAAGGCAACUGCUUUUGUGUCAUCUGAAAUCUUGGACAGCUCCUGCUGUCCAGGACUGUGCAACAUCAUUGGCUGGUUGAAUGAAUGACUUGCAGACUUGUUGAUGUAUUAUGCAUCCCAUUCCUCUUCAGGGUGUUCUUGAGCCCAUUCUCAGGUAAACACAGCAGAGGCAGCCUGACAGGUAACCAGUUACGGGGAAGCGUGAACCAAAGGAACGUUUAUCUUGUGGUAAGUUAGUAUAGGUUGGAUUCUUUUAGUUUAAACAUUUUUGUCAAGAAUAUUCUGUCAACAUUUUGCAUUUAUUUCCCAAUUUCAUGGGUAAAAGUUG